This 497-nucleotide ribosomal RNA is filed under the name uncultured bacterium. RNAcentral describes it as "partial 16S ribosomal RNA". It matches the Rfam family "Bacterial small subunit ribosomal RNA", at positions 28 to 507 of the family's 1533-position model. The record is from RNAcentral.
GAUGAACGCUGGCGGCGUGCCUAAUACAUGCAAGUCGAGCGAACGGACGAGAAGCUUGCUUUUCUGAUGUUAGCGGCGGACGGGUGAGUAACACGUGGAUAACCUACCUAUAAGACUGGGAUAACUUCGGGAAACCGGAGCUAAUACCGGAUAAUAUUUUGAACCGCAUGGUUCAAAAGUAAAAGACGGUCUUGCUGUCACUUAUAGAUGGAUCCGCGCUGCAUUAGCUAGUUGGUAAGGUAACGGCUUACCAAGGCAACGAUGCAUAGCCGACCUGAGAGGGUGAUCGGCCACACUGGAACUGAGACACGGUCCAGACUCCUACGGGAGGCAGCAGUAGGGAAUCUUCCGCAAUGGGCGAAAGCCUGACGGAGCAACGCCGCGUGAGUGAUGAAGGUCUUCGGAUCGUAAAACUCUGUUAUUAGGGAAGAACAUAUGUGUAAGUAACUGUGCACAUCUUGACGGUACCUAAUCAGAAAGCCACGGCUAACUACGUG